CCUUCGCUACACAAAGGGUGGUGGGGGUGUGGAACAAGCUGCCCAGCCCUGUGGUUGAAGCCCCUACCCUGGCUGCUCUCAAGACCCAGCUGGGUGAGACCCUCCAGUCAGUACAGGAGGCCCUUCUUUACACAGAGGGAGGUGGGGGUGUGGAACAAGCUGCCCAGCCAGGUUGUUGAAGCCGAAACCCUGGUUUCUUUUAAGAAAUGUCUGGAGGGGAUCCUGGGAUCCACUCUGUCCCUACCUCUGAGCAAUUGAGAGACGCCAAUUAACCUAAUCAGCGAGCCUUUUUAUUAGAUGGGGGGCAGAGCGCGCAUAUUCCACGCAGAAGGAAUCCACCAGGAACCCAGAACCCGAGAUCCGUCGCUGGGCCGGCGGCCGCCACUCCAUCGUCUCGAAUCGGCAGUUUCUCUCGACACGUCUCUUAAUGCUGUUCGGAAAUAAAAAAACAGCCCAGCGUCGCUUCCAGGUGCCGACCGCCUGUGGGGAAUUAAGGGCGCCGGUUCCUGAUUGACUCGCCGAUAGGUCUUCAAUAAAACACUCUCUCGUCGGCUCUGAAGAGCAGAGGUCGGUCUCGGGAGGAGCGAUCUGGCUGAUGAGCGGUUCAGCUGUGCCGAGUUAAGAAGCGCUUUGCUUUGCAGGCGCAUCAAACGCGCCACCGGCCUGGCUCCCAGCUGUGCAAACGAUAAAGAGACGUUUCGCCGGCGGGGGGGCAGGAGUUAAGAGACCGGGCCGACGAGCCGUUAAGCCCUUGCACGCCCACGCAGCGUCGCUGGAGGAAACGCGACCGGACCCGGCGCCCGCCCCUCUCCCCGGUUGGAGUCGGGGGGUCUGGGCGGGGACGGUGGACGCAGGCGAGGCCGGUGCCUCACCCAGCCCCGCAGGCCCCGCAGGCCCCGCGGGGACUGGAGAGACCGGGAGACCACACGGCGGGCUUCUGCCUUUAUUCCCUUUUCUUCCACGGAGGAAUGGACAUCGCCCCGAGCGAGAAAUUGACACGCUGGUGGGCCUGAGGCAGCUGGACGUGUCCCUGCUCCGCCCCCAGCUCGCCGGACCAGGGGAUCAAGGGGAUCAUUCCGCAUCCCGCUGGGAGAUCGGUGGCGGAGCUGCCCGGUGUCCCCUCACCCUCACGCUAUCAGCCUGGCUGUAGGGGUGCCGACCCUGGUCAUCAGGCCAGGGCUUCCUGGUCACUGGGUCACUCAGGCAGCAGCUGGGCGAGGACCUCCAGUCGGGACAGAAGGCCCCUCUUUACACAAAGGA
RNAcentral lists this long non-coding RNA (1260 nucleotides) under Lepisosteus oculatus (spotted gar). RNAcentral describes it as "lncRNA (ENSLOCG00000021484.1)". Lineage: Eukaryota; Metazoa; Chordata; Actinopteri; Semionotiformes; Lepisosteidae. The record is from RNAcentral.